GUUCUGAACUCAAAAUACAGUUCCUAAAGUUAUUGUAAAAAAAGUAGCACGAUAUUUAUUAUUUUUUAAACAAUUUGAAAGAGUCCUACAGAAAUAUCAGUGUGCUUCAUGUAGUCCUUUUGUAUUUGUGAUCCACUCACAUUCUGUAGUGAGAUUUGACCUCUGAACUCUAGCCAAUAAAACUCUAACUUACGAUGCCCCCUUCCCUGUAGCUAUCCAGUGGGGGCUCUGCUGACCCCACCCCCAAAGGUGCUGAGGCUGUGUGCCAGACUGUAGCACACCAAGGUCUCCACCACUGCGACCAGACAGAGCUUGCUGAUACCUGCGGAGUUUCUUGCCCUUCUCUUCCUAUUUCACAGUAUCAAUUAUACAAUUGGAACCAAAUUAUACAAUUUGAACUCCAGUUGCACAAGAAAUGAUACCAAGAAUGAACAAAUGGGAUUAUACCAAAUUAAAAAAACAAACACAUGGAUCUGCAUUGCAAAGGAGACAGCCAACAGAAUGAAGAGACAGCAUACAGAACAGGAGAAAAUUUUUGCCAGCUAAUUAUUAAACAGAGGUCUAGCCGCCAGGUGUGGUGACGCAUGCCUAUAAUCCCAGCACUCGAGAGGCUGAGGCAGGAGGAUCGCUCUUGAGUUCAAGACCAGCAUGGGCUGCAUAGUGAGUUCCAGGUCAGUCUCAAGUACAUAGUGAGAGCCUGUCUCAAGAAAAAACAAAACCAAAACAAAACAAAAACAGAGGUCUAAUAUCUAGAAUAUAUAAAGAACUAAAAAAUCUAGAUCCCCCCAAAUAAAAGUCUCAGUAAAAAAAAAUGGGUAACAAAUAAACAGAUAUUUCUCAGAAGAAAAAAUAUAAAUGGCC
RNAcentral lists this long non-coding RNA (861 nucleotides) under Fukomys damarensis (Damara mole-rat). RNAcentral describes it as "lncRNA (ENSFDAG00000022628.1)". Lineage: Eukaryota; Metazoa; Chordata; Mammalia; Rodentia; Bathyergidae. The record is from RNAcentral.